This 511-nucleotide ribosomal RNA is filed under the name uncultured bacterium. RNAcentral describes it as "bacterial SSU rRNA". It matches the Rfam family "Bacterial small subunit ribosomal RNA", at positions 501 to 1009 of the family's 1533-position model. The record is from RNAcentral.
CUACGUGCCAGCAGCCGCGGUAAUACGUAGGGCGCGAGCGUUGUCCGGAAUUAUUGGGCGUAAAGAGCUUGUAGGCGGUUUGUCGCGUCUGCUGUGAAAGGCCGGGGCUUAACCCCGUGUAUUGCAGUGGGUACGGGCAGACUAGAGUGCAGUAGGGGAGACUGGAAUUCCUGGUGUAGCGGUGGAAUGCGCAGAUAUCAGGAGGAACACCGAUGGCGAAGGCAGGUCUCUGGGCUGUAACUGACGCUGAGAAGCGAAAGCAUGGGGAGCGAACAGGAUUAGAUACCCCGGUAGUCCUGGCCGUAAACGAUGGGUACUAGGUGUAGGAGGUAUCGACCCCUUCUGUGCCGGAGUUAACGCAAUAAGUACCCCGCCUGGGGAGUACGACCGCAAGGUUGAAACUCAAAGGAAUUGACGGGGGCCCGCACAAGCGGUGGAGUAUGUGGUUUAAUUCGACGCAACGCGAAGAACCUUACCAGGUCUUGACAUUGAUGGACAGAACUAGAGAUAG